Molecule: non-coding RNA, 70 nt
Organism: Caligus rogercresseyi
Lineage: Eukaryota; Metazoa; Arthropoda; Copepoda; Siphonostomatoida; Caligidae
Source: the annotation of a GenBank genome assembly
GCGCCGUUGGUGUAGUGGUAUCAUGUAAGAUUCCCAUUCUGACGUCCCGGAUUCAUUCCCGGACGGCGCA